RNAcentral lists this unclassified non-coding RNA (288 nucleotides) under rhizosphere metagenome. Its description in RNAcentral is "partial ribosomal RNA internal transcribed spacer region". The record is from RNAcentral.
GUAGGUGAACCUGCGGAAGGAUCAUUAUUGAAGUUGAUUCGGGUUGUCGCUGGCUCUCAGGAGCAUGUGCACGCUCGUUCAUAUUCAUUCUCUCUUGUGCACCUUUAGCUAGACUAUGAAUACCUCUCGAGUGAAAAUCUCGGAUUGAGGGCUGCACCUAACCGUGCUUUCCUUGCAUUUUCAUAGUCUAUGUCUUCAUAUACCCUUUGUAUGUCUUUGAAUGUCUUUUUGUGGGUCUUUGACCUAUAAAAUCUAGUACAACUUUCAACAACGGAUCUCUUGGCUCUC